Molecule: long non-coding RNA, 604 nt
Filed under: Homo sapiens (human)
Lineage: Eukaryota; Metazoa; Chordata; Mammalia; Primates; Hominidae
Description: HSALNT0278740
Source: RNAcentral
AGGGAUUCUGCCUCAGCCUUCCGAGUAGCUGGCAUUACAGGCAUGCGCCACCAUGCCUGGCUAAUUUUGUAUUUUUAGUAGAGAUAGGGUUUCACCAUGUUGGUCAGGCUGGUCUCGAACUCCUGACCUCAGGUGACCCACCUGCCUUGGCCUCCUGAAGUGCUGGGAUUACAGGCGAGAGCCACCGCGCCCGGCCUGUCUUCACUUUUCAAGUACAAAACUCACAGGGCUCUUCCAGUUGUUUCUCUCUGUCUUUUUUUGAUGGAACCCACAUACCCCUAAAAUUCACCAGUCUUCGUUAUUAUUUUUUAAAACUGCCUCUGUAAUUUAAAAUUAGAAGAUUGGAGUAAUUGGUGUCCUAGUGACAGUCUGUAACUAGAACUUUAAAGUAACUUCAGGCUGGGCACCGUGGCUCACGCCUGUCAUCCCAGUUUUUUGGGAGGCCAAGGCAGGAGGAUUGCUUGAGCCCAGGAGUUUAAGACCAACCUGGGCAACAUAGGGAGACCUGGUCUCUACAAAAAUGUUUUUAAAAAUUAGCUGGGUUUGGAGCGGGCGCGAUAGCUCACGCCUGUAAUCCCAGCACUUUGGGAGGCUGAGGUGGGUG